GUCAGAGGUGAAAUUCUUGGAUUUAUCAAAGACUAACUAAUGCGAAAGCAUUUGCCAAGGAUGUUUUCAUUGAUCAAGAACGAAAGUUGGGGGAUCGAAGACGAAUCAGAUACCGUCGUAGUCUCAACCAUAAACAAUGCCGACUAGGGAUUGGUGAAUGUCGUUUAAAAAUCCUGACAUCAUCAGGACCAAAUCAAGAAUUUUGGGUUUUGGGGGUCUGAUGGCGCAAGGUCGCAAGGCUGAAAUUUGAAGGAAUUGACGGAAGGGCACCACCAGGAGUGGAGCCUGCGGCUUAAUUUGACUCAACACGGGAAAACUUACCAGGUCCGGACAUGAGAAGGAUUGACAGAUUGAGAGCACUUUCAAGAUUUCAUGGGUGGUGGUGCAUGGCCGUUCUUAGUUGGUGGAGUGAUUUGUCUGGUUAAUUCCGAUAACGAACGAAACCUUAACCUGCUAACUAGAUGCAUGUAUGAGGAUAUGUGCAGGCUUCUUAGAGGGACUGACUACGGAUAGUAGUCGGAAGUUGGGGGCAAUAACAGGUCUGUGAUGCCCUUAG
This 556-nucleotide ribosomal RNA is filed under the name uncultured eukaryote. RNAcentral describes it as "bacterial SSU rRNA". It matches the Rfam family "Eukaryotic small subunit ribosomal RNA", at positions 904 to 1476 of the family's 1831-position model. The record is from RNAcentral.